RNAcentral lists this ribosomal RNA (872 nucleotides) under uncultured eukaryote. Its description in RNAcentral is "SSU rRNA". It matches the Rfam family "Eukaryotic small subunit ribosomal RNA", at positions 334 to 1212 of the family's 1831-position model. The record is from RNAcentral.
UAGUGGCCAAACAUGGUUGCAACGGGUAACGGAGGGUUAGGGCUCGACCCCGGAGAAGGAGCCUGAGAAAUGGCUACUACAUCCAAGGAAGGCAGCAGGCGCGCAAAUUACCCAAUUCCGAUACGGAGAGGUAGUGACAAUAAAUACUGAUACAGGGCUCUUUUGGGUCUUGUAAUCGGAAUGAGUACAAUUUAAAUCUCUCAACAAGGAACAAUUGGAGGGCAAGUCUGGUGCCAGCAGCCGCGGUAAUUCCAGCUCCAAUAGCGUAUAUUAAAGUUGUUGUGGUUAAAAAGCUCGUAGUUGAACCUUGGGCCUGGCUGGCCGGUCCGCCUCACCGCGUGUACUGGUCCGGCCGGGCCUUUCCCUCUGUGGAACCCCAUGCCCUUCACUGGGUGUGGCGGGGAAACAGGACUUUUACUUUGAAAAAAUUAGAGUGCUCCAGGCAGGCCUAUGCUCGAAUACAUUAGCAUGGAAUAAUAGAAUAGGACGUGCGGUUCUAUUUUGUUGGUUUCUAGGACCGCCGUAAUGAUUAAUAGGGACAGUCGGGGGCAUCAGUAUUCAAUUGUCAGAGGUGAAAUUCUUAGAUUUAUUGAAGACUAACUACUGCGAAAGCAUUUGCCAAGGAUGUUUUCAUUAAUCAGGAACGAAAGUUAGGGGAUCGAAAACGAUCAGAUACCGUUGUAGUCUUAACCAUAAACUAUGCCGACUAGGGAUCGGACGGUGUUAUUUUUUGACCCGUUCGGCACCUUACGAGAAAUCAAAGUGCUUGGGCUCCAGGGGGAGUAUGGUCGCAAGGCUGAAACUUAAAGAAAUUGACGGAAGGGCACCACCAGGGGUGGAGCCUGCGGCUUAAUUUGACUAAUCCCGCGGCC